CUUAGGGUUACCACUUUAUAUUAUGUACUGAAAGACUUGUAGCAUAGCCUUGAAGCUGGUUUAUGCAUUAUUAUUGUUGUAUUUUGUCUGGGACAAAAUGGCGUAAACAUAUAAUGCACUUAUUAGGUUAUUGCUUAAAGAAACAGUUAUGAAAAACAAUAUGUUCCAUUUCUAACACCUUUGUCAAUUUGCAGUAUCUCUUAAAGAC
Molecule: non-coding RNA, 208 nt
Organism: Pelobates cultripes (western spadefoot toad)
Lineage: Eukaryota; Metazoa; Chordata; Amphibia; Anura; Pelobatidae
Source: the annotation of a GenBank genome assembly